GAUGAACGCUGGCGGCGUGCCUAAUACAUGCAAGUCGAGCGAACAGAUGAGGAGCUUGCUCCUCUGACGUUAGCGGCGGACGGGUGAGUAACACGUGGAUAACCUACCUAUAAGACUGGGAUAACUUCGGGAAACCGGAGCUAAUACCGGAUAAUAUAUUGAACCGCAUGGUUCAAUAGUGAAAGACGGUUUUGCUGUCACUUAUAGAUGGAUCCGCGCCGCAUUAGCUAGUUGGUAAGGUAACGGCUUACCAAGGCAACGAUGCGUAGCCGACCUGAGAGGGGAAUCGGCAACACGGAAACUAGGACACGGUCCGAAUCCUAAGGGAAGGAGGCGUUGGGAAAUCUGCGGAAAGGGGCGAAAGCCUGACGGAGCAAGGCCGCGGAGGUAAGGAAGGUCUUCGGAUCGUAAAACUCUGUAAUAGGGAAAAAAAAAAGGUGAAAGUAACAAUGCACGUCUUGACGGUACCAAAUCAGAAAGCCACGCCUAACUCCGG
RNAcentral lists this ribosomal RNA (496 nucleotides) under uncultured bacterium. Its description in RNAcentral is "partial 16S ribosomal RNA". It matches the Rfam family "Bacterial small subunit ribosomal RNA", at positions 28 to 506 of the family's 1533-position model. The record is from RNAcentral.